GAUGAACGCUGGCGGCGUGCCUAAUACAUGCAAGUCGAGCGAACAGACGAGGAGCUUGCUCCUCUGACGUUAGCGGCGGACGGGUGAGUAACACGUGGAUAACCUACCUAUAAGACUGGGAUAACUUCGGGAAACCGGAGCUAAUACCGGAUAAUAUAUUGAACCGCAUGGUUCAAUAGUGAAAGACGGUUUUGCUGUCACUUAUAGAUGGAUCCGCGCCGCAUUAGCUAGUUGGUAAGGUAACGGCUUACCAAGGCAACGAUGCGUAGCCGGCCUGAGAGGGUGAUCGGCCACACUCGAACUGAGACACGGUCCAGACUCCUACGGGAGGCAGCAGUAGGGAAUCUUCCGCAAUGGGCGAAAGCUUGACGGAGCAACGCCGCGUGAGUGAUGAAGGUCUUCGGAUCGUAAAACUCUGUUAUUAGGGAAGAACAAAUGUGUAAGUAACUAUGCACGUCUUGACGGUACCUAAUCAGAAAGCCACGGCUAACUACGUG
This 497-nucleotide ribosomal RNA is filed under the name uncultured bacterium. RNAcentral describes it as "partial 16S ribosomal RNA". It matches the Rfam family "Bacterial small subunit ribosomal RNA", at positions 28 to 507 of the family's 1533-position model. The record is from RNAcentral.